ACCAAUCACCGCAAGUUCUCAACUAAUUGGACAAAGAAAUGCACUUAAUGACACUUAAUAUUGAUCUGAUUUUACUCAUUCAUUGCUCUAACAAACGGUAACGGAGUUGUCACUUGACUAGUGACGCAAGAAUAUUCGUAAAAAUUCAAUUAAUUAUGCCACGAUUGUGUUGUCAGGUAUGUGCAACGUUUUUUUCAACGUCUGUCGCUGGAAUGUUGCAUCAUUUGGUCGCUGUUUAUGAACACGAUGCCAGAUUGCAUAUUAUCUGCGAAGUGCCGGAAUGUAAUUCAACCUUCGCUAAGGUUAACUCUUACAAAAGUCAUCUUAGAAGAAAGCACGCCAAUGUUGACUUAAACUCACGUCAUCUAUGUUGCGUUGAAUCAGCGAGUAGCAUUCACAACAAUUUUUGUCCUGAUGAGGAUGGCCUUGAACUUUUAAUUGAUGAGUUCAACAGGGAAAAUGAACUUGAUGACUCUGUUCAAGCAAUGGAACACAAAAAGGCUCAAUUUCUUCUAAAAACAAAAGAAAUCAAUCUGCUCACACAAAAAUGUGUGGAUAACAUUGUAGAAGAUUCCACUGAACUUGUCCAAGGAAAAGUCAAAGCAAUUAAACACGCUUUGCAAAAUUGCUUAGAGAAAGCUGGAUUAAAUUAUAAUGAUGUGCCAGGUCUUGAUGAAUUAUUUGAUAAAGGACAUGCUAUCUCAAAUCCAUUCAAACAUAUUUCUACAAAGUAUAAACAGAAUGCUUAUUUUGAGGAGCAUUUUGGCUUAGUUCAACCCAGACGAAUUAAACUUGGACACAGAGUUGUGAAAAGACAUUCAAGGACUGUGUACAAAGAAGUUAUUAAAGAUGACGAAAUCAUGUACAUACCACUGCUUAAAUCCUUGUAAAAUAUGCUCAAUGUAAAAGGAGUACUUGAACAGCUAAACCAUGGUCAUCUUCGGCAACAUAAACAUGAUGAUGUGAUUGAGGAUGUUUGCGAUGGCCAGUAUUUCAAAACCCAUCCUCUGUUUCCCAAGGACUCAACUGCUUUACAAAUCAUGCUUUACUAUGAUGAGUUGGAAAUUGCAAAUGCCCUUGGUAGUAAAACUGGAAAGCAUAAGUUAGGAGUUGUUUACUACACAACUGGAAAUAUUGAUCCUCGAUAUCGAUCCCAGUGUGACAGGGUGCGAAUUAACGGUGUGCAAUGUGCAAUUUGCACAUCGUUUUGGCUAAAAUGAAAAUAAUUGCACAUC
Molecule: RNA transcript, 1235 nt
Organism: Xenia sp. Carnegie-2017
Lineage: Eukaryota; Metazoa; Cnidaria; Anthozoa; Malacalcyonacea; Xeniidae
Exons: 5
Source: RefSeq, a predicted model, not a curated record